GACGAACGCUGGCGGCGUGCCUAAUACAUGCAAGUAGAACGCAGUUGCGAACGGGUGAGUAACGCGUAGGUAACUGCCUGGUAGCGGGGGAUAACUAUUGGAAACGAUAGCUAAUACCGCAUACUACCAGAUGGACCUGCGUUGUAUUAGCUAGUUGGUGGGGUAACGGCUCACCAAGGCAACGAUACAUCGCCGACCUGAGAGGGGGGUCCGGCCCAACUGGACUGAGACACGGCUCAGGCUCCGUCGGGAGGCAGCAGGAAGGAAUCUUCGGCAAAGGACGGAAGGCCUGCCGAGCAACGCCGGGGGAGUGAAGAAGGGUUUCGGAUCGUAAAGCUCUGUUGUAAGAGAAGCGGUAUCUUACCAGAAAGGGACGGCUAACUACGUGCCAGCAGCCGCGGUAAUUC
Molecule: ribosomal RNA, 407 nt
Filed under: uncultured bacterium
Lineage: Bacteria
Description: partial 16S ribosomal RNA
Rfam family: Bacterial small subunit ribosomal RNA
Source: RNAcentral